RNAcentral lists this ribosomal RNA (468 nucleotides) under uncultured bacterium. RNAcentral describes it as "partial 16S ribosomal RNA". It matches the Rfam family "Bacterial small subunit ribosomal RNA", at positions 28 to 507 of the family's 1533-position model. The record is from RNAcentral.
GACGAGCGCUGGCGGCGUGCUUAACACAUGCAAGUCGAACGGAAAGGCCCUGCUUUUGUGGGGUGCUCGAGUGGCGAACGGGUGAGUAACACGUGAGUAACCUGCCCUUGACUUUGGGAUAACUUCAGGAAACUGGGGCUAAUACCGGAUAGGAGCUCCUGCUGCAUGGUGGGGGUUGGAAAGUUUCGGCGGGUGGGGAUGGACUCGCGGCUUAUCAGCUUGUUGGUGGGGUAGUGGCUUACCAAGGCUUUGACGGGUAGCCGGCCUGAGAGGGUGACCGGCCACAUUGGGACUGAGAUGCGGCCGAGACUCCUACGGGAGGCAGCAGUGCGGAAUAUUGCACCAUGGGCGGAAGCCUGAUGCAGCAACGCCGCGUGCUGGAUAGCGGCCUUCGGGUUGUAGACCGCUUUCGCCUGUGACGAAGCGUGAGCGACGGUAAUGGGUAGAGUAGCAACGGCUAACUACGUU